This 253-nucleotide ribosomal RNA is filed under the name uncultured bacterium. RNAcentral describes it as "partial 16S ribosomal RNA". It matches the Rfam family "Bacterial small subunit ribosomal RNA", at positions 524 to 776 of the family's 1533-position model. The record is from RNAcentral.
UACAGAGGUCUCGAGCGUUGUUCGGAUUCAUUGGGCGUAAAGGGCGCGUAGGCGGCGGGGUAAGUCUGGUGUGAAAUCUCGGGGCUUAACUCCGAAACUGCAUUCGAUACUGCCGUGCUUGAGGACUGGAGAGGAGACUGGAAUUUACGGUGUAGCGGUGAAAUGCGUAGAUAUCGUAAGGAAGACCAGUGGCGAAGGCGGGUCUCUGGACAGUUCCUGACGCUGAGGCACGAAGGCCAGGGGAGCAAACGGG